Molecule: long non-coding RNA, 5021 nt
Organism: Cataglyphis hispanica
Lineage: Eukaryota; Metazoa; Arthropoda; Insecta; Hymenoptera; Formicidae
Exons: 2
Source: RefSeq, a predicted model, not a curated record
AUAUAUAUUGAUGGUCUUACUUUCGUGUAUAUAAAAAAAAGGAAAAAUAGACAAGUAAUAAAUCAUAAACGCAUUUAGAAGAUGUUACGCGAGUAUAUUGAACAUCAACAUGUAUCGAAUCGAUGCUUCGAUCUUAGAAAUGGGAGUCAUAUAUUUGUGACUGGCAAACAAUAACAAUGAUCGCAUUACAAGUCAAAUAUUUUUAUUCGCAUAUCGCGGAGAGGGAGUUCUCGCAUUCGCUAUCGAAGGAGAAGGUAUAAAAAUAGAAGAAGGUGCCUCGCAUGAUAUGAAACAAUAUCAUUUUCAGAAUUGUGGACUUUACGUUCAACAAUAUUUCUUCGAAUGAAAUAUUAUAUAUAUUUCCCUAUUGUGGCUUUAUUAUCCUAUGCGGUGAGUUACUCCUCCGAUACUCAUCAACUUCUUUUUAUCGUAAUAAUAAUUUUAAAAAGACUUGAACAAAUUUUUAUUGUAAACAGUUGGAGGUAGAGAAUAGAAUAUAGAAAAUAGCAACAAUUAUUAAUCUGAUAAAGUACGAUUAAAAUAGUAAAUUUUGAUAUAUAAACAUAUGUUUUGAAUGACUACAAAAUUUAUAUUGGAUAUUUAUCAGGGAAUUUUGUUACUAUUUAUUCUAAUAAAAAAAUUACAUUUUUAUGCAGUUCUACCCUAAUUAUUUUGGAAAACGAGGUAAAAAAGAGGACAAUUAAUUGUUAAACAAGAAAAAAUUUUAGUCUUUUAGUAUAGUUUUAUAUGUCUCAUUUUUUAUUUUGAUAUAAAUGAUGAUUCCAACAAAAACUUUGUGAAUUGAAAUUUUAAUAUAUAAUAAUGGUAUAAAAUCGGUAAAAAUAUUUUUUAUAACAAAUUACUAAAAUAAAAAAUGUAAUGUCCACUUUAUUACUUUUGUGAACUGGAUUUUUUGUAUAUUGGUAGAUUCAGAUAUAAUUAUUAAUCUAAAUAAAAUUAUAUUACAGAAUGUGAACAAACUAUUCUGUAAAGUGAGAAAAUAAUUAGAUUUUGAUAUGCCAAGAGAGAGAUAAAUUUUAUAGUAUAAACUAAACUAUAUUUUGUUUUUGCUGGCAUAAAAUUUUUUGCUCUUGUCCCGCUACUUGUGUUUCAAAAUUUCACACACAUACAUGUGUAUAAUUUGUAAUUUAUUUGUAAUUUGUAAUUGAAAAUUACUGCAAUGUAUCUCUCGUGACUGUAAUCUAUAAUGUUGCAUUUUACAUGCCUUCUGUCAAUCUGUGAUCAGACUUUUAGGUAUGUAAUAAUAGAGAUUGUUUGAAUAGGAUGUGAGUGUGCAUUAUAUCAUCAAAUUUUGCACAUUUUAUCCGAUUCAGCUUGAUUAUUCGUCAUAAUUCUUCCACAGUAUAUGUUCCUCGUAAAGGAAAUUAAAUGUAGAAAGCGACGACGUCUUGUCAAAUACGAUGAGAACACUUUGAUAUUCUAAGUGACGAUAAUCGUCUUACAAAGUGCUAAGUUUGACUACUGAUUCGCGGACGUUGUGUGCAAAAUUUGAAAUUGAAAUUUAAGCGUCUUUCAAGACAGGAACUUUGAUAAAACAUUCGACGAAUGGCCGCGCGUUGAUGAAUUAUGCGGGAGGAGGGAAACAUUCGGCACGGCAGAGAUUUUAUUAAAAGUUCCGUCAUCGAAACUGAGUUUUCGGAAACGUGAACAAGCGUUUGGGAUAAAGUAAGUGCCGUUGGAAUAGUAAGUUGACGAUAAUGCUUGAGAAUACAUUGACGAUAAUGGGACCAGGAACUAGUUUUUCGUGACUAUACCUUUUCCAGCUACUUUUAUAUCGUCCGCUUUGUUCAUUCUUCGGAUAGUUGCGAUAAGAGCGCUUGUACUAUCUCGCGGUCAUGUAAUUUACGCGUUUGAUCGAAAAUUUUCCCCUAAAUAAAUUUGCAAAUGUCGAGGUAGGGAAAAUUUGUACAUGUAAUUGAAUGAUUUUAACAUAUUAAAUGAUUUGGCUUAAACGAUUGUUUCGCCUUAGUGUUAAGUCGCAAAUAAGCGCCUAAAUAAAUACCCUGUUUAUAAACAACAUGUGUUGUAUCUCUAAAAAAAUAUGUAUAUAUAUAUAUAUAUAUAUAUAUAUAUAUAUAUAUAUAUUCUCUGUGAAUGUAUAUAUACGACGCGCGCAAGACAUAGCUGGACGUUAAUGAACAUUAUCUGUAUUGAUAUGUGUAUAAGAAUAUUGAUGAAUGUGCCGAAUAUGUUGGCGAAUGGAAUUGAUCUAUAGGCAUUGCAUGCUUCUCGAUAUACAGCUUCGUGAUGCCAUUAUUAUUAUAGUUAUCGUAAAAGAUUUGUUAAUCGAAUGGUGGAAGUUAUUUUCACUUUAACUUGUUAAGCGAGAAACUUUUCAUGCUUUUCACGCUGCAUACUUUUGCGCUACGUUUUUGGCGCGUUAACUACCGUAGCUUAUGCAGUGUCCGUCCACGAAGUACUUUUUUUUUCUACGAGAAAGAGAGAUACUGCGUAUUCUUAGUUCUAAUAUUAUAUAAUUCAUAUUAAAUAUUUAACAUAAUUUAAUAUAUUAAUUAUAUAAUAAUGAUGUGUAAAAUUCCCUUUGAAAGACAAUGACAGUAAGCUUAUAAGAGUGCGAUUUAUAUCUAGAGAAAUCGAUACAUUUUAUUAUGAAAAAAGGCGAUUGAUUUUAUUAUCAAUAAAAACAAUAAAUUAUUUAUAUUUUUGUCAGUGAUUAAGAGAGCGUGAUUAAUCUGCGAUUGAUAGUUACUUGCGCUUAAUUUUGUUCUCUGUAUAACGAAUGAGUUCUCUCAAUAGAUUGCGAGUGGUAUUUUGUAAUGUAUUAGCAACAUUUAUCUAAUAAUUUUAAUUAUCAAUAAUGCUCGUGUACGAUGAAUACUGUGAAUUUUUAUUGAAAUAAUUAGAAUAGAUAUCCGCAUUAAUUUGCUAUUAUCGUUAGCGAUAAUUAGAGUAUCGAUAAAUGUUGCUAACUAUGAUACGGAAUACCAUUGUAGAGAAACAUUAGAUAACGCUUAAAGCAUUUGUCUUUAUGUCUCUGACUUAUCGAAUUAAACGCAGGUCAAACUCGUUCGAGCUAAUUCGUUCUCGUCUAUGUAGUUGACUAGUGCAUUAGAUGGUAGUAGUAGAAGUGGUAAAUUGUGUUAUAGAUGAUGAACAGAGAUAUAUGUCUUAGAUGAAACGAGAGGGAGACGAAACAUUUCCAAUGUACUUUUCUCACAUAAUUGCAUUGUAAACAACAGUCGUGUUGUUGAACGAAACGAACUGUGCUGUUUCGUAAUUCUUCCGGUAGUCUCAACUCAUUUCGAGGAUUCGAUUAAUUCUGACGUGUUUCGUACAAGCUUGUCGGAGCGAAUUCUCGUCAUGAUGGAAUGCGUAUUCUGACCUCGGGGGCCUCGUUCUGACAAAUUUGUAUCGAGCGGCGGAAAUAAUCAUAUACGGAGUAAGUGGAGGCGAUUAUUAACGGAUAUGCCAUGUGAUUAGGCCCUGUAUUGUAAUCAUCUGAACGCAUUUUAUUAAUAUUGACAUUUUCGUGCAAAUUUAUUAGAACGAGUUGCCGUCAAAACACGCACUGAUUACGAUUGCACCUUCGGGAUAUGAUCGUGUGGUAGGUAUACCGGUUUUUCGGUUCUAAUAUAUAUGUGAGGCAUCGAAAUGAGCGCCUAUAUAUAAUAUCGCGUAUGAAUUCGAUUUUUUCGUUGAAACAUAUUUUUUUUUUUUUAACAAUAUUGAUUUUGAUUUAAAUUUACCACGAUGUACGCUGAAUUUUAUUCAUUUUAAAAUUAUUUAAAAUUAUUAUUUAUAAGGAAACACAGUUGUUGAUUGAAUUGUUGAAUUGAUCCAUCUUCCUUUCAAUGCGCUCGAUUAAUUCUGACAUUUUUCUAUUAAUUUGUCAGAAUAAAUUUUCUUUGGAACGCGCAUUCGCUUGAUUAUUCCUUUGACCUUAGAUUAUAGUAGAUAAGUAAUUUAUCACAGAAAGUCAUUGUGACAAAUUUUCAUAUCACAAAUCAAAACAAAUAUCAAAUAUAUUAAAAUAAGCGAAUAUGAUUAUAAUAUGCACCAUACGAUCAGAUCCUGCAUCUUAUUUCAGUGCAUUUGAUUAGAUUCUGACAAAAUGAAUUUUAUGUAAGGCAGGCGAGUUGUUGUCUUCUAUUAACUCGUGUCACUAUUUCGGCCUUUAUUGCUUAUGUCGAGGCAAGUAUAAUUUGUACAUAUGUUUGUAAAUCGGAUUUAAUAGCGUAGAUUUACUAUGUAAAGAGAGCAAACUGUAAUAUUGUUUGCAAAUCGAAUAUGAGCGGCAUCUCGAAUACUCAAAUCUAAAAAUGUGCUAUUAAUGAUCAUUGUACAAAGUCAUUGAGAAGCACUAUAUUCGAAACUCUGAGGACCACAAACUCACAAUAACAUUAGCUCUGAAUCUAUGUAGAUUAUUCGUCUUUUUCAACGAGUGUAGCGGUCGCGAAUUGAAUUCGAUAUUAAACAUCAACACGUUUACGAGAGAGUUACGCAAAAUAAAAAAAAAAAAAUGUCUUUGUAUGGUCCGUGUUUAUACGCGCGAAAGUCGCGAUAUUAAUCCGUUGUAACGUAAAAAAAAAAAACGGCCAAGUCCGUUUAUCAAUGUUGUGUCGUGAUAAAUGUCCAUAAUGCCUCGUAACAAUACUUACGAACGUAAUGGCUAAUGACAACCAAUAGUUUCGAUUCGGUUAACACGAGAAUAGCGUAUAAUAAAAGUCAGGUCGAUGUCUUGCAUUAACUAGUAGAAUAGUAAAAUUAGUUUAUAGAACAACCAUGUAGAACGUAACGUUAACAUCUGUUCCUCUAGUCCUAACAAAGUCAUAAAUCGAUACAAACUGUGUACCGAACUAUAUAUAUGUAUUUAUUUUGUACUGAAUGUGUAUUUUGCAUUGAUGUAUUUUUUGUGAACGUGGACGUGGUACGCUACGUCAGAACCCACGACAUUCUGAUUUUAUUAAUACUUUACAGUUUACGGUGAACUGUGCAUAUGUAAAUUUUAUAAUGUUGUAAUAAAAAUGCGUUUCUCUUUC